UGAACCUUUGGGAGAAAAGCCAAGCAAGUG
RNAcentral lists this non-coding RNA (30 nucleotides) under Macaca fascicularis (crab-eating macaque). RNAcentral also lists the same sequence under 1 other name. Lineage: Eukaryota; Metazoa; Chordata; Mammalia; Primates; Cercopithecidae. The record is from RNAcentral.